GCCGUCCGAGCCCUUCUUGCGCUUUCUCCACCUCUAGGUUUCCCGCCGCCGCCCCCGCGUCCGAUGCACCUCCGCUGCUCGAGCAAGGAGCAGCAACUCCUUUAGCCUCGCGCCGCCGUCGACCCGCCCUUCUCGUCGGCCGUGCCCCAUGCUAGCAGGUGGGCGGAGCCUCAUCACGGUGAGAAGGGGCUCGCCGGCGGGGCCGAGCAGCGCCAGCUCGCCCGGGGAGGCAGCGCCCCCGCCGUGGCCGCGGCCGUAGGUGUCAGCGCGGAAGGCGAGGCCGCCGGUGCGGUUGUCGUAGGCCGGAAAGCCGUCGCCGAGGGAGACGAGGGUAGCAGCAGUCGCAGCAGGUGGCGAUGGUGGUGAAAGCGUCGGAUGUGGGCUGCUUCAGCGGGAAUGGCGCAAGGCCCACCGCUUCUUCUACUGCGGCGCUUCAAAACGGCGUCUCUGCAGGUAUGCUAGCGCCUCGUCUUCUCUUGUUUCUUACUGAUGCAAAGCGGAAAUGGGUAAAUAUGGAGAUUAGCCAAUGAGAUAUGGUUGUUAAAUUUGUCUUUUGUGGUACAUUUUUUUUGAGGAAAUCGGUGAUAACGCAAGGAACUAAGACCUUCAGUGAGACUGUCUUUGGUGUAUUAGCGAAAUUUGUUCAUCGGAUAGAGCUUUGAAUAGAUUAGCCAUCCUCCUCUCUAUUUACAUUCAUGUGCAGAAUGGGUGGUGUUGCAGCGCCUCUAGGUUGCCUGAGGUGGGGGAGACUUGAUCCACCUCCUCGUUUCUAUAGAUCUUUCGCCAAAGAAGGUUGCAGAGAUAUCAAUCUAGAAGAAGAAUGAGGGGGGAUUGGGAAUGUUCUGUAACUAUUUUUAUUGCUAACUUAGAUGGGAUUACAGUUCAUUGGUUUCAUUAUUUGGUCAUGUCUAAUUUUGCUAGCUAAGAUGCUAGCCCCUAUGCUGAACAAUGUUACAUUUUGACUCAUCUAGACCAUCCUUGUUGCAACCCUCACCUUAGCUGCUAAUGGUACCAAUUGUGCUGCUGGGGUUGUUGUUUUUGGUUGUUGAGAAGGAUGCUACCAGUUAUGCCUUUGUUUGUGCAAACUUUAUGAUUAGCAGGUACAGUGAGCACCCUUCAGAACCUCUUGUUUCUUCUUUGCUCAAGUUACAUUACGUAUCAAGAUGUGAGUUACUAAAUGUUCAUGUAUGUAUCAUGGAUGGACACUACCUCUUGUAUUGUUGAUUGGUUUGCAGGCUUAAUGGUUCUGGUUCAGGUAGAAGAGCUUCAGCCUUAGAAGAUUUCUGGGAGAAUCGAGUAAGUGAAUACAAAGAAGCACUUGCCUUUGGAAUUAAAGAUCAGUUUAUGACACUGACCAGAGAUCAUACCAAGGGAUUUCAGGGCUAGCAAAUAUGCUAAACAUAAAUACAGAGAGGCAAUCAGGCAGUGGAUUUCCGAUAUUGAUGCGAGAAAAAUUCCUUUGGCUCAAAGCCCACUUACUGAUAUUCUCAUGGUGUUUUAACCAAUAUAUAUAUACCAUCGGCUCGACGGCGAGGAGGGAAACCCCGCAGACCGAGGACAGCGCGAUGACUGUGCCGCAUGUGAAGAGCAUGGUCAUGUCAUGGGACCACACAUCGGUGGUGGUCCGCUUGCCUGCUAUGGCAUCAAACACGACUACACCCUUUUACUCGGCCUAUUCGGAUUGGAUUGGGCAGGGUGCUCUUUUGCUUUAAAGAUAGGAUAGGUGGAUAUAUUUGGUUUUAUGAUGGACAGGUUGAUCAAAAUCACAUGGCCUUUUUUCAAGUUUGAGAAGAAAAAGACACUAGAACAGGUGAUUGAUCACAACCAUACUUUCAGAGAUUUAUAUUUGAACUUUUUCAGUUACAAUUAAAGGCAGAAGGUAGCAGUUGACAUUAUUGGUAAAUUAAUUCUCUGCAUUUACAUAUGUGCUGAUGUAACUAACAUACAUCUAUACAUGGCUUUACUGAGCAUGAUCUUGCAUUUGCUACAGCCUGCUAUGGUCAAAAUGCCUGAACCUAAGAAUAUGCUACCACAGUACCUACGUUUCUCUGUAGAAAAGGUCAAGUGUAAUCCUAAUUUGGGCUACUGAAUUUUAGCCCCUUCACUGGUUAUACAAUGGUUAUCUACAUGUUUAUGACCGAUGUUUCACAGCGGAGGGAGUAUUUAGGAAUGCAUACAAGCAAUUCCUGUAUGAAGCAACACCACAUAAGCUCUAUAUUUCAGAACAAGCGUUCUGCAUUUUCAGAGAUUAAUCUGUGUCGAUAUAUUCAGUGUUUAAGAAGGGCGAUCGAUGCGCUUUGGUGUACAUGAUGAGCAUACUUCAUCCACCGCCGCCGCCUCCUCCCAUCCCAGAUCCGCUGCCGCCACCGGAGGAAGGGCCCCUCCCGAGACCCGCUUCUCCCUCGAGUCAGGUCGUGUGGGCGCCAUCGUCGUCUUCUGCCUUCGGUGCGUGGCACCACUGCCGGAGAGAGCGACGAGGAGGUCCAGCAGCCCGUGCUUUCAUCGUCGUGUGGCGCCAAAAGAAUGACGAGGAGGCGGAGCAGUUCGUGGUGUCUUCGUCAUCGCCGGCCGUGCUGGCUGACCAUGACACAGAGUUAGAGGCCAUCAGGCAGAGGCGAGUGCAAGAGCUAAUGGGACAACAUGGUGGUGCGCGUUGGAGGGAGUGUCGCGUCUUGUGGCAACUGCGCCACCAAUCAAUUGCCUAGGCCAGCUGGCCGAUGCGCUCUGUGUAUCCGAGGAUGACGUUCGAUUUGACCUGACCAGCAGCCGCUGCCGCUCCCACAACCACAUCACCGGCCAUCCAGUGGGCUUCUUAUACCCAUCUAUGUUCUUUGCAACAUUGUACCGCAGAACGUAGAUUUUAAUUCAGUGUGUCGAUCCUACAUGCUUAUUAAUGAACAUGCAGUGUUGGAGGGAGUGUCGCGUCUUGUUGUAUUCAGAGAUGCUCUGUAUUUUGUGGUAGGAAUUUUAAGCUCUAAGGACAUAAUUAUUCAGCCUGCAAGAUUUUUGCUUUGGGUUUUAGAAAACUGAACAACAGUAUAGCAACAUAUUUACUGUAGUACCUGUGUGCAUGUCUGCAUGAUCAUCUUCUUGGUGGCCUGAUUAGAAUUAUGCUAAUUUUCUUGCUUUGCACUUGGGGUAAACAGGCUAGACCAAAAGGUACGAUACUAAUGGCGAACAGCAUGAUACCGACCUGAUGUGUAAUAGUUGCAACUGACCAACUCAAAUGAAUACUAAGUAUCUUCUCAGCCUGUUAUCUCAGUAUGUAUUGCUCUUUCAUUUGCUAUUUGCCCAGAAUUUGGGACAGUAUGGUCCCAUCUAUAUGUUGGCUCCCAUCUAUUCUAGCUUGUGGCCAUAUCAAGGGUUCUCGCUGUCUAUCUUGGUGGAUAUUAGCUUUGUUCUCGUAGAGAUUGUCCCUGGGAUCAUCAUUAGGCUAUUGGCUAUUCUUGACCGUCCUCAUGAAUUUAUUUUAGAUUUAAAUUUAUAAUCAAACACUGCAAUCUAUAUUUCUAUCAGUAUAAUGGUAUGUCACCUAUCCUAUUUU
Molecule: long non-coding RNA, 3544 nt
Organism: Triticum dicoccoides
Lineage: Eukaryota; Viridiplantae; Streptophyta; Magnoliopsida; Poales; Poaceae
Exons: 7
Source: RefSeq, a predicted model, not a curated record